Gallus gallus (chicken) is the source of this 1916-nucleotide long non-coding RNA. RefSeq lists it as uncharacterized. The record is from RefSeq and is a predicted model, not a curated record. Lineage: Eukaryota; Metazoa; Chordata; Aves; Galliformes; Phasianidae. The transcript has 5 exons.
GCAUCUGUUACUUGACAGCCACUGUCUCCACGAGUGGUGUCACAAGAUUCUGAGGCUGGCUGCUCUGCACCACCCGCAUGCCCAUGACCGUGGCAAGCAGCUCGUGAGUCAGGUGACAGAAGCAAAACAGGAUUUAAAGGCCCAUUGUUCGACCACAUUACAUGGCACAAUCCAGAGCCAUGGCACCAAGGGCUUCAGCAGCACCAGAUCCCCAGGAGACACUGAGCUGGCACAGAAGUACAUAGAGCCAGAUGGGAAAAUGAGGUGGGAAACACCAAAAUCCCUGCUCCACACCUUGUGAGGACAAAGCAGGCACCAACGGCUGCUCUGGGUGCUCAGCAGAGCCCAGCGCUUGUGCUGCCUUCUGGAGACCCCAGUCACACAGCGUGUGGCACUGCAUCCUUCAGAGCAGCAGAAAAAAGACAGGAGAGCAGAGGAAGUAAAUCUGCUACCAACUUGGAUCUUGCAAGGACUCUGCACUGGCCGGGCUCAGGACAGGACACUGCUUCCAGUUGAUCUCUGCUCUGCCGGACGUGUUCGAUCCAAGCUCAGUUUACAGCUCACUACACUUGAGGGUGUGUUUGAGCCACUCUUUGCUGAGGAGUUUUUUCCAGUUCCACCACACUGACUCAAGGCACAACGCACAGCACUGCAUCACCUGCCCCAUGAAGCCCACCACCCCAUCAGGAUUUGCGAGAUAAAACAAGCCAGAAGUCGCAUGCCAACUGCACCGCGCAUUGAGGCAGAUGUGCAGGGGGGAAGGUAAAGCAAGACAGCAAUGUUAAUAGAAAAGAUGGAAACAGAGCAGUGAGCGGUGCAAUGCCCGCAUUUGGGAUGGGACCAGCAGCAAGCCUUCUGCUCGGCACAACUUUCCUCCUGUCGCCUGACUGCAGCUAAGCACUGGUGUGAGCUCCUACCUAGCAGAUAGGAAACAAUGUAAAAUCUCAAGCAGGAGAUUAUCUGUACAGCAGCAGGAAUCACAAUGAAACCUGAUCUGAAAGCAGUGCAAUAACAGGGAUGGAAGCACCAAAAAAAACCAAAACCAAAAAAACACAAGACAGACAGCCUGUUCUUUCCAAAGCAGAUGCUGCUUUUUGAAAAGCUAAGGUAAUCAUUCCUGAUUUAGGGAAUCAGGCUGGAGUGUAGCUUGAUUUCUUUACAAAAAGACUCUGAAGGUCCUAUCAGCACUUCUGUGAUUUUAUUCCUAGUGUCCCUGAUCGCAGAACAGAAGUUUGGGAUAAACCAAUUGCAUUAAACAAGGACAGAAUUUCUUGGGAGCAGAGUACACUGCCACAGCCACUCAUCUUCCUCAGUGAUCACAUGGAUGGAGUUUUAGGGGAAUAGACAUCUCAAAAAUUCCAAGCAAAUUCGUGUUUAGAAUCGCUGCCUUCCACACAUGUGGGCAUUCCCUGGGCACCAGCUCACAUCUGCUCAGGCUCUUUGUGCCCACAGAUAGACCUGAGGGCCCGUCCACCUCUCCGCGCACCUACACAGCCCUGGGUACUGGCACAGGAUGCUGGGGAGGCAGCACAGAGUGGCCCUGUCCUGCCAUGGGGCUCCAGUGAGGACACUCCACAACUGGAAAGGAAACAAAGAAACAAGCCCCCAAAGUUUUAAUUUUUGUCUCUUCUGUUUCAAUUAGCAUGCAGCAUCUGACGCCGUGGCACAGGGAGCUAAAAAUGUGUGCGUGGAUAUGUCAUCCAUGAACAAACUGGCUUGUGUUUGCUCUUUAUUAUUUAGGAAAUGCACAUUAAUUACUGCAGAUUUUCUCCUAUACAUCUACUGUAUCUCAGACAGAAUUGCUGAGAAGGGUCUGCAGAACAAAAAUGUAUGGGGUAAUUAAAUGGAUAUUUAUAAUUAGAACUUAAUAAUUUGCAUCAGGGACAAAUGAGCUCUGAUUUCAAUCUGUAGUGCAU